UCUCCGUUGGUGAACCAGCGGAGGGAUCAUUACAGAGUUUUCACAACUCCCAACCCUUGCGAACCGUACCCAUUCUGUUCUCGUUGCUUCCGGCGGGCGGGACGGGGGGGCCCGAUACGGCCUCCCCGCCCCGCCCGCCGGGGGUGGCGGGCCCUACGAACCUCUAUACCUCAACCACCAGAAACCGUCUGAGAAAACAAACAAAAUACUCAAAACUUUCAGCAACGGAUCUCUUGGCUCUG
RNAcentral lists this unclassified non-coding RNA (242 nucleotides) under plant metagenome. RNAcentral's name for it is "partial contains small subunit ribosomal RNA, internal transcribed spacer 1, and 5.8S ribosomal RNA". The record is from RNAcentral.